CAUUAGAUGGCUGAAAAUUUAAGUGUUGGUCUCUUAAACCAAAUUAUAGUACUAUUACUUCUAAUGA
Molecule: transfer RNA, 67 nt
Filed under: Lachesilla anna
Lineage: Eukaryota; Metazoa; Arthropoda; Insecta; Psocodea; Lachesillidae
Description: tRNA-Lys
Source: RNAcentral